GGAUGUGAGGGCGAUCUGGCUGCGACAUCUGUAACCCCAUUGAUCGCCAGGGUUGAUUCGGCUGAUCUGGCUGGCUAGGCGGGUGUCCCCUUCGUCCCUCACAGCUCCAUGUGUGUCCCUCCCAAAGCUGCGCGCUCCGUCUAAGAGGACGGCCUUCCCAGAAUAGAGACUGAGCGGCCUUCCGUAGAGCGUAUACGAGUAGCUGCGGUCCCCUGCCAAAACCUCCAAACAAGCUCUCAAAGAUAUAAACAGAAAUAAUCAAGACUACAAAGGCAAAUCAUAUGAAAAAGGGAAUCACCUGGAAAGGUAAUAACCAUUUUAAGCUGCAUCCCUGGACUUUGGAU
Molecule: non-coding RNA, 344 nt
Organism: Erinaceus europaeus (western European hedgehog)
Lineage: Eukaryota; Metazoa; Chordata; Mammalia; Eulipotyphla; Erinaceidae
Source: Rfam